GACGUAGGGCGCGAGCGUUGUCCGGAUUUAUUGGGCGUAAAGAGCUCGUAGGCGGCUUGUCGCGUCGAAUGUGAAAUUUUAGGGCUCAACCCUGACAUUGCAUUCGAUACGGGCAGGCUUGAGUUCGGUAGGGGAGACUGGAAUUCCUGGUGUAGCGGUGAAAUGCGCAGAUAUCAGGAGGAACACCGGUGGCGAAGGCGGCUCACUGGCCCGGUACUGACGCUGAGGCGCGAAAGCGUGGGGAGCAAACAGG
Molecule: ribosomal RNA, 253 nt
Filed under: uncultured bacterium
Lineage: Bacteria
Description: partial 16S ribosomal RNA
Rfam family: Bacterial small subunit ribosomal RNA
Source: RNAcentral